CUUGUCUCCUAAAUAGAGACCAGUAUGAAUGGCCCCAUGAGAAAGUAACUGUCUCUUGAAGAUAGCCAAUGAAACUGAUCUGCCUGUGCAAAAGCAGGUAUAAUGAAACAAGACAAAAAGACCCUGUGAAACUUUAAAUUNAACGCCAACUACANUGGCACUACUUUUAGGUUGGGGCAACCAAAGANGAAACAAAACCUCUUNUUAAGGCACAGACUAACAAGUCCAACCAUNNNNAAAUUUGAUCCAGUAAAACUGAUUAAUGAACCAAGCUACUCCAGGGAUAACAGCGCUAAAUUCUUGAAGAGUUCACAUCAACAAGAAUACUUACGACCUCGAUGUUGGAUCAGGAUAACCAAGCGGUGCAAAAGCCACUAAAGGUUCGUUUGUUCAANCNAUUAAUAUCCU
Molecule: ribosomal RNA, 408 nt
Filed under: Agama spinosa
Lineage: Eukaryota; Metazoa; Chordata; Lepidosauria; Squamata; Agamidae
Description: partial 16S ribosomal RNA
Rfam family: Bacterial large subunit ribosomal RNA
Source: RNAcentral